Molecule: long non-coding RNA, 3107 nt
Organism: Cylas formicarius (sweet potato weevil)
Lineage: Eukaryota; Metazoa; Arthropoda; Insecta; Coleoptera; Brentidae
Exons: 2
Source: RefSeq, a predicted model, not a curated record
AUCUGCAUAGACGUUUUGCGCAACUUUUGUAAUUUUUUUCUUUUUGGAUUGUCUUACGCUUUUAUCUGAUGCCCAUUUUGAAUAAUUUAAAAGACUAAGAUUAAAAAAACAAUAUUUAGGUAAAUUAAAACUACAAAGCUUUUACUGAAUUAAUAUUUAAUGUAGAAAACUGUACAAAAAUAUUCUUAUAUAAAAGAAACCUACAAAUAAUGCGAAUGGCUCACAAAAUUACAUAUCUAUAAUAUCGUUUUCAGUUUAGCUCUGAAGAAGCCAACAGGAUGAUUGGCAAAACGUCGAGAAGUUUGAUCCAUAAACAAACAACGCAGGAAGAAUGCAAAAGCUUUGUAAAUAGUGAAACUCAUCUUUAAAAAAAAAAAAAAUUAGAAAAGCGAGAAAAGAUAAAUGUUCUUCUUCGAUACUCCAUCCAUGAGUGUUCCAGUCUCGGCUGUUACGAAAAAGGAUCACCAUGCCAUGAGAAAUCACUAGAAAUUAAUUUCAAGUUUUUUAUGUUCCUAUAACUGCCGCUCGAAGACGCAACUUCUAGUUUAAAUAUGAAAAAGCAAAUUUACAAAAUUUUUGCCUAGAAAAGAGUUGUUAAAAAUAAUGAAUCACACAAGUUCGGAUUUUGCAAUAUCUAAGUGGUGGGAAAGUUAAAUGUGUUUUUAUUUAAAUGUGUGUUAAAUGUGGAUUAUAACAAUAUACAUUUGGGAGUAGACUUUUUAAGACGCUGCGUUAUAACAUAACAUACAGUUCGCUCAUUUUCUAAAAUUUUAAAUGCAUGCAUAUUUUUUAAAUAGUCUAAAGCGCUCUUGAUUAUGACAAUUCUGAGAAAAUAUGAGAGAAAAAAUGAGAAAAUUAUUAAUUUACUUGGAUAUAGAUAAUACCAGAAUACCUUAAUGGUCACAUGACAUGACAAUUAGUAAUAAGUAAGUUGUCAUUACAUGUAGGUUUUGGAAAAAAGUAAAUUUAAAGUAUGACUUUAAACAUCAAAGUGUUAGAUUAAAAUUUGUAUCACUUUUGUUUCAUUUGAUUGCUUCAAAAUAGCAAUUAAUUGAAGAAAGUGUUGUUAUCAUUCGGUAACAUUUUAAUUGCUGUGGCAAUGUGGUAAUUCUUGUGUUUUUGCAGGGCACAGAGCGAAGCAAUUUUCAAAAGUCACUUUUUCUAACACCUACCUGUUGCAUCUUUUUUGUAAAUUAAGCUUUUUUCCUAUAUUUUCUUAGAAUGAUCACGAUCUUUAUAUUUGUUAAUAUUUUUGUAAAUAUCUUCCAUUUAGGAAAAGAUGUCAAGAUGCGGUUUUCGCUGACUUCUUAAGCUUUUAUUGCUCUUUGCCAUCGGUUAGAAGUAUAAAAAAAGUACACCGUUGCUUGUAAAAUUUUAAGAAAAAGCUCAACGUUCGUUAAGUUGUAAGACAAUUCCACCUAGCGGCUGUUAGUGUGAAAUACAUAUUUUUUUUAUAAGUUAGAAUCUAAAAUAAGAAACUUUCUUGUGAGUCCUAUUUAAUAACUCGAAAAUAAUUUCCAACAAUUUCUUACGGCCUCUUUGGCAUCCCAUAUGAUUAAUGCUUCCCCAGAGCAGAGAGCUAUUCUUAAUGGAACAGGAGGUACACAAUGUAUAAAACAAAGAACAAAAUAUAUUUUCUUAUUUUAAUGACCACUUUAAAUUAUGCUUCGGCCGGAGCUCAAUAUUACUGAGCCAAUAGGCCUAACCAAUAAAAAUACUAAAAUGGUUCUAUUGCCGCAGAGCGCAAUUUUAAGUAUAUUGCCCCGAAUUUGGUGCUGCAAAUUUUCUUAAUUCUAAACUGGGAUAUAACAAGAAAAAUCAAUCAAAAUUUACUUCUUGUACCUUUUUUGUCGUUUAAUAAUAUUAAUUAGAUUGCCACAGCCGUUCGAAAUGAGUAUUCAUACAGUCAGUAUUUACGCAAAAAGUGCGUGUCUACAUUUUUCUUUGCUUACUUUUUUACUGAGUAAAGCUUAUUAAAGACGCUCUUCCAAUGACUUUAAACAUAAAUGAAACUAACAUAAAAAAUUACAAUUACAAAGGUAUCCUUAAUUCGAGAAAAUACGAUUUUGCAAUGUAAUAAAAGUAUACGGUAAUUGUAUUAAAACUUGGGUUAAUUUAAGUUAAUUUUUUCGAGAACUGCUGACUCCAUUUGGAUAUAUAUAUUUUUAAAUUGUACCUUAACUUUUCGGAAACGAUGUUACAAAAAGUUUUUUAUUUAAAUUUAAGCUUUAGGCAUGUACAGAGCGUAUUAACCGCUUAAUGCACACCUCCGUGAGAUAUAGGGGCAACGUUUACUGGCAGAAUUAUGAAACUCCAUAAAUGUUACGUCACUGUAAUUUUAUAUGUCUCAAAAUAUUACAGCUUUGUAUGGGUGACGGCUAAUAUAGAAAUAUAAUUUUCCAAAUAUUUUAAGCCUAUGUCUGUCAGGUUGGGUGGUAGAUUAUUGCUAUUCUCGGAAUUUGCAGCAGGUUCAAGAAAAGACAGCAUGGGCAAAAAAAUCAGAAAAGAAACAAGAUAUUGGUGCAGUGAGUGUGACGUGGACUCUGCGUAGUACCAUGUUUUAAAAUUUACCAUACACAAUUAAAAUAUUAAUAUAAAAAAGUUUUUUGCAAAAAUUAGUUAAAAUAAGUAUAAAUAAUUAUUUGCGAAAAAAAUAAAUGAUUUUUGUUGUACCUAAAUUAAUUAAAAAAAUGUGCAUUAAGGGGUUAACAAAAACCAGUUUUAUCCUCAAUGUUUGCCCCAUUUUAUUUUUGGUUAAUCGAUAUUCCUUAAAUAAAAAAUAAAUAACUUAUUCAAAUUAUAGGUAGAAAUAGUUAAACAAAGUUGUAACAGGGUGGACAGAACAUACGUCGUUAGUGAUUCUCAUUUUAUUGCAAGGGAUUUAACCAACAGAAGUUCCCUGUUUGCAAAAUCCAGUAUGUUAGUGUUAUUUCAUUAAAGAGAUUGUAAUAUUUAACUUAUAUUUGCCAGGAUAAUAUUAUUAAGUACAUAUCUACUUAUUUUUCAGGUUUUCAACUUCUGAUAUCCAAAUCUUUCAUAAAACCAAUACAUUUUGUCAAACUUCUGCAAAGAGAAUAAUAUUUACACUUCUUGCUAUAAGUCUUUGU